UAGCUAGUUGGUAGGGUAAGAGCCUACCAAGGCGACGAUCGGUAGCUGGUCUGAGAGGAUGGCCAGCCACACUGGAACUGAGACACGGUCCAGACUCCUACGGGAGGCAGCAGUGGGGAAUAUUGGACAAUGGGGGCAACCCUGAUCCAGCAAUGCCGCGUGUGUGAAGAAGGCCUGAGGGUUGUAAAGCACUUUCAGUGGGGAGGAGAGUUGAUGGGUUAAGAGCUAAUUAACUGGACGUUACCCACAGAAGAAGCACCGGCUAACUCCGUGCCAGCAGCCGCGGUAAUACGGAGGGUGCGAGCGUUAAUCGGAAUUACUGGGCGUAAAGGGUGCGUAGGUGGUUGUAUAAGUUAUCUGAGAAAUCCCUGGGCUUAACCUGGGCAGGUCAGAUAAUACUGUAUGACUCGAGUAUGGGAGAGGGUAGUGGAAUUUCCGGUGUAGCGGUGAAAUGCGUAGAGAUCGGAAGGAACACCAGUGGCGAAGGCGGCUACCUGGCCUAAUACUGACACUGAGGCACGAAAGCGUGGGGAGCAAACAGGAUUAGAUACCCUGGUAGUCCACGCUGUAAACGAUGUCAACUAGCUGUUGGUUAUAUGAAUAUAAUUAGUGGCGC
Molecule: ribosomal RNA, 616 nt
Filed under: uncultured Legionella sp.
Lineage: Bacteria; Pseudomonadati; Pseudomonadota; Gammaproteobacteria; Legionellales; Legionellaceae
Description: bacterial SSU rRNA
Rfam family: Bacterial small subunit ribosomal RNA
Source: RNAcentral